AUUAGCAUAUCAGGAAAUCCUGCCAAGAUGCAGAUUUUGGUCUAGUCUAUCAAAUGAGACCUAAGAUUCUGCAUUUCUAGCAAGCCCUCAGGGUAUACUGCU
RNAcentral lists this microRNA precursor (102 nucleotides) under Marmota monax (woodchuck). The record is from RNAcentral. Lineage: Eukaryota; Metazoa; Chordata; Mammalia; Rodentia; Sciuridae.